This 333-nucleotide long non-coding RNA is filed under the name Homo sapiens (human). RNAcentral describes it as "HSALNT0142086". Lineage: Eukaryota; Metazoa; Chordata; Mammalia; Primates; Hominidae. The record is from RNAcentral.
GUCUGACUGAUAAUAUAUCCAUGAGAUAUGAACUGGAAUUCCUGUCCUCUGCAUUGAUGGCCCCACCUUUCAGGGUGAAAAAUACCAAAACCAAAAGAGAAAAAGAAAACAGAAUAGAGUAAAGAGAUAACAACAACAGAAGAAAAACAAUGACAAAUCAUUAGAGACAUAUGAAGAAGGAUACCAAAGAAUGCAUCUGCCUUCAGCAAUUUGUUCAUGUCUAUUUCCUCAGUAUCUCUGCAAUCUCAACACUCCUAUGCCUUGAAUAUCAAUUUUGUGUGUGUCAUCAGCAGCUUCAUGUACACUCUUUUGUGUCCCAUUACACUCUUUUUG